GAUGAAGAACGUAGCGAAAUGCGAUACGUAAUGUGAAUUGCAGAUUUCAGUGAAUCAUCGAAUCUUUGAACGCACAUUGCGCCCGCCAGUAUUCUGGCGGGCAUGCCUGUUCGAGCGUCAUUUCAACCAUCAAGCCUUCGCUUGUGUUGGGGCCCCGCGGCUGCCGCGGUCCCCUAAAUCCAGUGGCGGGCUCGUCGUCGUACCGAGCGCAGUAGACAUCCUCGCUCCGGGAACCCGACGGGUGCCGGCCGUGAAACCCCCCACAUCAAGGUUGACCUCGGAUCAGGUAGGAAUACACGCUGAACUUAAGCAUAUCAAUAAGCGGAGGA
Molecule: unclassified non-coding RNA, 329 nt
Filed under: soil metagenome
Description: partial contains 5.8S ribosomal RNA, internal transcribed spacer 2, and large subunit ribosomal RNA
Rfam family: 5.8S ribosomal RNA (bases 1-120)
Source: RNAcentral